GACGAACGCUGGCGGCGUGCUUAACACAUGCAAGUCGAACGGUGAACUCCGCUUGCGGGGGGAUCAGUGGCGAACGGGUGAGUAACACGUGGGCAACCUGCCCUCAGCUCUGGGAUAGCUCCAAGAAAUUGGGGCUAAUACCGGAUAUGACCGCUGACCGCAUGGUCUGGUGGUGGAAAGAUUUAUCGGCUGGGGAUGGGCCCGCGGCCUAUCAGCUUGUUGGUGGGGUAGUGGCCUACCAAGGCGACGACGGGUAGCCGGCCUGAGAGGGUGACCGGCCACACUGGGACUGAGACACGGCCCAGACUCCUACGGGAGGCAGCAGUGGGGAAUAUUGCGCAAUGGGCGAAAGCCUGACGCAGCGACGCCGCGUGGGGGAUGACGGCCUUCGGGUUGUAAACCUCUUUCAGCAGGGACGAAGCGAAAGUGACGGUACCUGCAGAAGAAGCACCGGCCAACUACGUG
RNAcentral lists this ribosomal RNA (465 nucleotides) under uncultured bacterium. RNAcentral's name for it is "partial 16S ribosomal RNA". It matches the Rfam family "Bacterial small subunit ribosomal RNA", at positions 28 to 507 of the family's 1533-position model. The record is from RNAcentral.